GACGAACGCUGGCGGCGUGCUUAACACAUGCAAGUCGAACGGGUCUGCCCUGUUUUUUGCGGGGUGGGUCAGUGGCGAACGGGUGAGUAACACGUGAGUAACCUGCCCCUCACUUCUGGAUAACCGCUUGAAAGGGUGGCUAAUACGGGGUGUUCUGGCUGUGCCGCAUGGUGUGGCUGGGAAAGAUUCACUUUUGUGGUGUUUUGGUGGGGGAUGGGCUCGCGGCCUAUCAGCUUGUUGGUGGGGUGAUGGCCUGCCAAGGCUUUGACGGGUAGCCGGCCUGAGAGGGUGGGCGGUCACACUGGGACUAAGAUACGGCCCAGACUCCUGCGGGAGGCAGCAGUGGGGGGUAUUGCACAAUGGGCGGAAGCCUGAUGCAGCGACGUCGCGUGAGGGAUGGAGGCCUUCGGGUUGUGAACCUCUUUCGCCGGUGAAGAAGGUCCUGCUCUUUGGGGUGGGGUUGACGGUAGCCGGGUUAUGAAGCGCCGGCUAACUACGUG
This 500-nucleotide ribosomal RNA is filed under the name uncultured bacterium. RNAcentral's name for it is "partial 16S ribosomal RNA". It matches the Rfam family "Bacterial small subunit ribosomal RNA", at positions 28 to 507 of the family's 1533-position model. The record is from RNAcentral.